UGGGGAAUAUUGCACAAUGGGCGCAAGCCUGAUGCAGCCAUGCCGCGUGUGUGAAGAAGGCCUUCGGGUUGUAAAGCACUUUCAGCGAGGAGGAAGGUGGUGAACUUAAUACGUUCAUCAAUUGACGUUACUCGCAGAAGAAGCACCGGCUAACUCCGUGCCAGCAGCCGCGGUAAUACGGAGGGUGCAAGCGUUAAUCGGAAUUACUGGGCGUAAAGCGCACGCAGGCGGUUUGUUAAGUCAGAUGUGAAAUCCCCGGGCUCAACCUGGGAACUGCAUUUGAAACUGGCAAGCUAGAGUCUCGUAGAGGGGGGUAGAAUUCCAGGUGUAGCGGUGAAAUGCGUAGAGAUCUGGAGGAAUACCGGUGGCGAAGGCGGCCCCCUGGACGAAGACUGACGCUCAGGUGCGAAAGCGUGGGGAGCAAACAGGAUUAGAUACCCUGAUAGUCCACGCUGUAAACGAUGUCGAUUUUGGAGGUUGUGCCCUUGAGGCGUGGCUUCCGGAGCUAACGCGUUAAAUCGACCGCCUGGGGAGUACGGCCGCAAGGUUAAAACUCAAAGGAAUUGAC
This 568-nucleotide ribosomal RNA is filed under the name uncultured bacterium. Its description in RNAcentral is "partial 16S ribosomal RNA". It matches the Rfam family "Bacterial small subunit ribosomal RNA", at positions 355 to 914 of the family's 1533-position model. The record is from RNAcentral.